RNAcentral lists this ribosomal RNA (490 nucleotides) under uncultured bacterium. Its description in RNAcentral is "bacterial SSU rRNA". It matches the Rfam family "Bacterial small subunit ribosomal RNA", at positions 30 to 517 of the family's 1533-position model. The record is from RNAcentral.
AUUGAACGCUGGCGGCAUGCCUAACACAUGCAAGUCGAACGGAGGUAGGGGCAACUCUACUUCAGUGGCGGACGGGUGAGGAAUGCGUCGGAAUCUACCCUAUGGUGGGGGAUAACACAGGGAAACCUGUGCUAAUACCGCAUAAUGUCGAGAGACCAAAGCAGGGGACCGCAAGGCCUUGCGCGAUAGGAUGAGCCGACGCCCGAUUAGCUAGUUGGUAGGGUAAAGGCCUACCAAGGCGACGAUCGGUAGCUGGUCUGAGAGGAUGAUCAGCCACACUGGGACUGAGACACGGCCCAGACUCCUACGGGAGGCAGCAGUGGGGAAUAUUGGACAAUGGGCGCAAGCCUGAUCCAGCAAUGCCGCGUGUGUGAAGAAGGCCUGCGGGUUGUAAAGCACUUUUGUUCGGGAAGAAAUCAUGCUGGUUAAUACCUGGUAUGGAUGACGGUACCGAAAGAAUAAGCACCGGCUAACUUCGUGCCAGCAGCCG